AUUCAUUCUCUGCUACCUACUUGAAGAUUUUGCCAUGUCUUUCUUGGUUUCUCAGUUGCACUUAUAGAAAUAUAUAGUGACAAGGACGGCCCGGCCUUCUUCUAAGCUUUUUCGCUCGAUUAGCAUCGCUAAGGGAUUGAUUUCUCCUAACAUGUGUUGUUUCUUCAAACAAUAUUUUAUAAGUCUAUAUCCUUAGUUACUUACUCCCAUGCUGAUAAUAAUAAAACUCACUCAUCACUUUUCGUGGUAUGAUAAAUUGGUUCUUCCUGGGGGAUUUAGAUCCUACAUAUUUUUAUUCGCAAUUUGUUCAUGAUAGUUUAUGUCAACUUAAAUUUCAAACUAUUUCACAAACCAAAAGAGGAAAAGAGCGACUUUUGUUUCCCCUUUUCAUGUAAUAAUUAUUUUACCUUUUUUCUUAUAAUUUAUAAAUCAUAAACUUAAGUAUCGGGGUUAGAAAGACUCAAUAUAUAAACUCGAAAAGGAGUAUAAAAAAUCAUCAGUUUUCUUAAUUUAAGAUAUAGAGCAUCAUCGAAAUAUCUUAAUUUUCUUUGCAUAAAAAAGACGUUGACCAGUAAUUUUCAUUGAAGUAUAUAUCUAUUUGUAGAUAUGAUUUUAAAAAUGAAAAUUUGUUCAAAAACAAGUACAACUCAGAACUUCGACAGAAAUCUAAAACAGGGAGACGAAGUAAAGCAAAACGGAUGAUAUAUACAGUCUGUAAUAACAAUGAAACAACCUUUAUUGUCCGACGAAAUUGGGAGUUAAAUUUAUUGAGCUUCUAAUGAUUUUCGUCGGACGAAAACCUUCACUUAUAUAAAAUGAUGAUAUAAGAAGUUGUGAGAAAUUUCAAUUCCUUUUCUCAUUUUCUUUCUUUUUCUUCAACUUCAUUUUUCUUCUUCCAUUUUUACAAAUAGUGAUAUCAAUCAGCACAUCGUAUUCAAAAUUAAGAAGUUGUUAACACAACUGCAUUGGGAUGAACUACAAGUGUAAAUCAAUUACUUUUUUUUGUUCUCCGUUUGAUAUUUGAUAAUGAUACAUUAAAUAAUUUUGUCUUUAAGAAUUGCUAUAAAGCACUUAGUGGUAAAUGAAUAACCUCGAUCUAGUAAAAUUAUCUUAGUGAAGUGUUAAUUAGUGUGUAGUUGAAAAUUAUAAGGAGUCUAAUAACACUUAGUGCUAGAUGAAUUACAUCGAAUUUAAUUUUAGAAACAAUUCAGGCGACCUGGUCCUCUUUAUGAACAAGGGUUGUUAAUUUGACUUCCCCGGCUAUGGGUUGGCUU
Molecule: long non-coding RNA, 1274 nt
Organism: Solanum pennellii
Lineage: Eukaryota; Viridiplantae; Streptophyta; Magnoliopsida; Solanales; Solanaceae
Exons: 3
Source: RefSeq, a predicted model, not a curated record